RNAcentral lists this microRNA precursor (76 nucleotides) under Callithrix jacchus (white-tufted-ear marmoset). RNAcentral describes it as "mir-320 microRNA precursor family". It matches the Rfam family "mir-320 microRNA precursor family". Lineage: Eukaryota; Metazoa; Chordata; Mammalia; Primates; Cebidae. The record is from Rfam by way of RNAcentral.
AACCUGAUGGGCUUUCUCUUCCCCGUUCUUCCUGGAGUCGGGAAAAGCUGGGUUGAGAGGGCAAUUAAAAAAAAAA